UGACAGGCUCGUGUGCACGGGGGUGGAGAAGGGGGUUCUGCCCAUGGGGGGCCGCUCCGCUCUGGCCCCAGCACCACCACUAGCAACCACCGCCGCCAGGCGCACGAGCGGCCGACCAGCUGUGGGCUGAGGGCCGCCACCUUCGGCUACACCGCAGAAAUCCAAAAGACAAGCGAGGUUUAAGCUGUUUGCUCUGGAACAGAAAAAAUCAUAUGUUGAAACAGAAAAAAUAAGAUUACUGUAGAACCAAGUCAUCGCAAGUGACACGAAUACCGACAAAAAAAUACAAAUCAUAGAAAAACAGGAACAGGAUCAUUGUGCCCAUUAGCAACAAUGCUUACAGAUUCAUUAUGGCUCACAACAAAGAAACCACUUUAAGGAGCUCUACUUAAGCAAAGGCACCAACAAUGAGAACUUUCUCCACUGGACAAAGAGAGAUGAUAUGAAGGCUGACUAUUUUAGAAUCAUAGAAUCGUGGAAUGAUUUGUGUUGGAAGAGACCUUAAAGAUCAUCUAGUUCGAGACCCGCUGCCAUGGGCAAGGACACCUUCUACUGGACCAAGAUACUCAAAGCCCCAUCCAGCCUGGCCUUGAACACUCCUAAGGAUGGGGCAUUGUCCUAGUUUAACCCCAGCAGGCAACUAAGCACUACACUGCCACUCACUUGUACCUCGCCAGUGUGAUGGGGGGGUAGAAUUGGUAGGGUAUAAGUGAGAAAGCUGCUGGGUUGAGAUAAAGGCAGUGUAAUGUGUAAAGCUAAAGCUACACACACAAGCAAAGCAAAACAAGGAAUUCAUUCAGUAUUUCCCAUGGGCAGGCAGGUGUUCAGCCAUCUCCAGGACAGCAGGACUUCAUCACAUAUAACGGUUACUUGGGAAUAUAAACACCAUAACUCCAAAACUCCACCACUUCCUUCUUCUUCCUCCUUAUAUGCUGAGCAUGGUGUCAUGUGGAAUGGAAUAUCCCUUUGGUCAGUUGGGAUCAGCAGUCCUAGCUGUGUCUCCUCCCAACUUUAUAGUACACCCCCAGCCUACUUGCUGGUGGGGUGGUGUGAGAAACAGAAGAGGCCUUGUCUCUGUGUAAGCACUGCUCAGCAGUAAUUAAAACAUCUCUGUAUUAUCAACACUGUUUUCAGCACAAAUCCAAAACACAGCCCCAUAUCAGCUACUACGAAGAAAAUUAACUCUAUCCCAACCAAAAGCAGCACAGACAUCCACAGCUUCUCUAGGAAACCUGUUCCAGUGCCUCAUCACCUUUGUGGUGAAGAAUUUCUUCCUUAUAUCUAAUCUAAAUCUACCCUCUUUCAGUUUAAAGCUGUUACCCCUUGUCCUAUCACUACAUGCUCUUGUAAGAAGUCCCUCUCCAGCUUUCUUUUAAGUCCACUUUAGGUACUGGAAGGCUGCUUUAAGGUCUCCCUGGAGCCUUCUCUUCUCCAGGCUGACCAAACCCAACUCUCAGCCUCUCUCCAUAACAGAAGAGCUCCAGCCCUCACCUCAUGUGGAUUUAAUGAGUUAGACAGCAUUUAUUUUCACAAUGAGACAUAUUCAAUUCUUUUGAAAUUCAAUAGCCAUAGAAACAAAGUUCCCAUAAAUUGGAUAAAGCAAAUACAAGGAUAUAGCACAGCAUGGUUUAGUUUUUUGCUGAUUGAUUAUAAAGAAGAGAAAAUCCCUAACAUAUACACAUGUAUUGAAAGAACAAUAAAUAUUCAAACAGACUUUGAAACUUGUCAUCAAGGCAGUGUAAUAUUUCUUCAUUUUUUCCAUUUUAUGCAUCAAAAUAUGUAUUACUCUAAGAUCUAUUUCUAGAGAUUUCUCUACGCACUGAUAUAGGCCUAUAGAUAAAACUAAUUACAACCUAUUCAGCUGUAGUCCCUGGAGCUGAAAAGUUGCAAGAGUUAAUUGCAAAAUACACUGAACUAGCAUAACUACUGCAAAAAAGCAGUGUUAAACAUUGGCAAUAUAAAAUAAUUUCUUCCUUCAUUUGGAAGUGGCAAAAAAUCACCUAUUUUGUUAAGAGUUCUGAUCCUCACUCUUAUAAGAAAUUUCAUAUUUGCUGUUCCUUGUACCCAGUACAAAUCUUGUAGUAUCUGUGAAAAUCACUGCUAUUUUCAUGUUGUGGUUGUUAUUAAUAAAUAUUAACUCAGAUUUGUUUUUCUUCUAUAAGGAAUGCUGAAAUGUAAGGUAGUGAUGAUGUAUCAACUAUCAAGCAAAUUUCAGAUGUAACUAAUGUGGUCAGUUAAGUCUUAUCUCUUUCAAGAGUGGCAAAUUCUCGUAGGAGGAUUACAGAAACAGAAUCAUAGAAUAUCUGGAGCUGGAAGGGACCCAUAAGGAUCAUCAAGUCCAACUCCCUCCUCUUUGCAGGACUACCUAAAAGUAAACCAUGUGACUAAGAGCAUUGUCCAGAUGCUCCUUGAACUCUUGGUACAGUGACCACGGUGGACCUUCUUCCAGUGACAAAACACUCUCAGUGUAGAACCUUUUCCUAAUGUCCAAUCUGAACUUCCUCUGACACAGCUUCAUUCCAUUUCCUCGCAUCCUAUCUCUGGUCACCAGAGAGAGGAGAUCAGCACCUCCAUCUCUGCUGCCACCCUUGAGAAAGCUGUAGAGUGUCAUAAUAUCACCCCACAGCCUUCUCUUCUCCAGGCUCAACAAACUAAGUGACCUAAAUCACUCCUUCUAAGUCUUGCCUUUGAGACCCUUCACCCUCUUGGUCGCUCUCCUCUGGACACUCUCUAAUAGCUUGUUGUUCUUCUUAUAUUGAGGAUAAGAAUGUAAAGGUGAAAUCACUAGAACUAAUUUGUACAGUGACAUGAUAUGACGAGGAUGUUUUUCCUUAGGAUUGUGAUGGAACAGCUAAAUCCAUCUGGCUAGAAACAUGCUCCUUGUGUAAUUUUGUUGGCUGAAUUAUGCUGUGGUUAGGGAAACGGAUCUUCCAGUUAUGGAAAUGUGUUUUAAAUUUAUAAAACUUACAAUUUUAGUCUAGUAAAACUAGUUUCAUACAUUCCAGUCUACUUUAUUGAUUUCAGGAUGAUUUACUCCUGGAACCAAAUAUGAUGUGAUGAAUAUGCCAGCCAACCCUCUCUAUCAGCAACAAACCCACUUUUAAUAUUUGUCAUAACAAUGUUCCAGGUUGUUUUUCAAGUUUGAAUUACAGACUGGUAAAUUAAGAAUGCAUUACACAUAAGAAAAGGUAUACAAAAGAUUAUAAUGUUUUAUAAGAACAUUAUAGUUCUAAUCUAACAAUGCACAAUCAGUAAAACUAAAUUUUUAAAGCAAAACAUACAAGAGUCAAAAUUCUUAAAGCAAAAAUAUCUUGGCUUAGUUGCAUAUAUUUUUCAUUUUAAAGGAAAUGUCUUAACAGAAGUAGAACUAUAAUAAGCAGUACUACUUUUAAAGUUUAGCUAAGUGUACAUGGUGAUAGAAUUGUAUUUCCAGCCUACUUAACUAUUUAGUCUAAAUUCCUCCCCCCCAAUUAUUCUAUUAUACUUUUGAAGAAUUUACCAUUUUAUGAAGGUGAAAUACACAUAAGAUGAUGAUAACAGAAAAUGAAUAUGUUAAAUCUCUGUUCAGUUGUUAGUUUCUAGCUGUACUAAGGAUAAUAUAGUCACAGUAGUACAGGCAAAUUCAAAUAUACUAUUCUGUUUCAAUGUCUGAACAAUUUGGUUCAGUUAUGCAAAUGCUCAUUCAAGUAGUCUUUAUUCAUAUACAUGAUCAUAUUCAACACAAGUUUUUGCAAACAAUCAAGCCCCUGAAGUGAUGUAAAAAGAGUAUCUUCUGUUUUCUUGUGGUUUUGCACAGUUUUAUGUACUGGAAAAAAUUCCAAAGAAACUCUAUUCAAAAUUGAGUAUUAUGUACAGCAAUAGAUGGCUGCAAAACAUUUUGGUUUCUGUGUUCCUAUUUCUACAACAACAUACAUUAUUGUUAAUCAUCAUAAUCUGAAACUUCAUUGUUGAAAUAUUGGUUUCUUGGCCAGAUUUCUUAUACCUAGAUGAAUACAACUUUGCUGACAUUUAGAAAAUAUUGAUACCUCAAACUUUUGUAUAUGUCAAGUCUGACUGAAUAUAUUAAGUUAAGUAUCUUUUGGACUGCAUGGGUAAAUUAUUAUGACAUCAUCAUACUGUGGAGGAACUGGGUUGCACUUCCUCCAAAGAUUAUGCAUUACUUAAAAAUGGUUGAAAGCCAUUUCUCUCUUUAUUAUGAUUGUCACAUUAACAAAAGAAAACAGGUAGCUUUCCAGGAACAUUUUAUUUAUUUAGAGCCUCUGAGAUUUCCCAGUAGAAUAUGUCAUAUAAUCCAACAAAAAUGCUUAGUGUGACAGAUUCUGCAACAUACAUUACACUCUGUGGAAAGUCAUUUAUGAAAAAAAGAAUUAUGCCCAUGUUAUUUGGUGUUAUCUACAUAUCCUAAUAAAACAUAAAUUGAAAGCAGGCAUUGGUUAUGGAAGUUUGAACUGUAUUUUAUUGUCAUUGUUUUCACUAUUUAAUUUGAUUAAAUGAACAUUUUGUGUAAAUCUGACCAUCUGAGAACAAAGUUAAAACUUGCAAUUAUUUUGUGAAAUUAAAGAAACAUUUCAGCUUUA
This is a long non-coding RNA of Columba livia (rock pigeon), 4577 nucleotides long. RefSeq lists it as uncharacterized. The record is from RefSeq and is a predicted model, not a curated record. Lineage: Eukaryota; Metazoa; Chordata; Aves; Columbiformes; Columbidae. The transcript is spliced from 3 exons.